RNAcentral lists this ribosomal RNA (440 nucleotides) under uncultured bacterium. RNAcentral's name for it is "bacterial SSU rRNA". It matches the Rfam family "Bacterial small subunit ribosomal RNA", at positions 338 to 795 of the family's 1533-position model. The record is from RNAcentral.
CCUACGGGAGGCUGCAGUGGGGAAUAUUGCACAAUGGGCGAAAGCCUGAUGCAGUGACGCCGCGUGAGCGAAGAAGGCCUUCGGGUCGUAAAGCUCUGUCCUAUGGGAAGAAGAAUGACGGUACCAUAGGAGGAAGCCCCGGCUAACUACGUGCCAGCAGCCGCGGUAAUACGUAGGGGGCGAGCGUUGUCCGGAAUGACUGGGCGUAAAGGGUACGUAGGCGGCUAGAUAAGUCAGAUGUGAAAGGCAUAGGCUUAACCUGUGUAAGCAUUUGAAACUGUCUAGCUUGAGUCAAGGAGAGGGAAGCGGAAUUCAUGGUGUAGGGGUGAAGUGCGUUGAUAUCCAGAGGAAGGCCGGUAGCGAAGGCGACUUGCUGGACUUAGACUGACGCUGAGGUCCGAAACGGUGGGCAGCAAUCAGGAUUGGAUACCCGGGUCGGG